CGUUAUGGCGGCUGUGCGUGGGAGACCUUCGGGUCUGCUGGGUUUACUUCUUGCCCCGGUCUUGCACACCUACGUACAGUUGCCACCCUA
RNAcentral lists this non-coding RNA (90 nucleotides) under Pseudomonas rhodesiae. The record is from RNAcentral. Lineage: Bacteria; Pseudomonadati; Pseudomonadota; Gammaproteobacteria; Pseudomonadales; Pseudomonadaceae.